GUGAAACCUUCUCUGUGUGUAAAAAUGAAAUCAGCGAAUGUAUAUAUGGAGCUGUGAAAAUAGUGAAACCGGCUCACAGCUGAAGUAAUUCCUCAGGAGGUGGACUGCUCCAAAUACAAGAGAAGGCUCCAAGAUCAUAUGCACAAAGGAGCUGCAACCAAUUUGUGGCACAGAUCAGAGAACUUAUAGUAAUGAAUGUGUAUUUUGCAUGCUAAACCAAGGCAAAGGACUUCAAGCCAGAAAACUUCAUGAUGGUAAAUGUAUUGAGAGUACCGAAUACUCUGACAUAUGUACCUUGGAAUACAUGCCUUUCUGUGGACUGAUGGACAUGAAUAUCCCAACAAAUGUUUGUUUUGCAAUGCUGUUGUGAAGAGUCAUGGUGCCAUUUUUUUUGGCAAAUUACAGACAGUGCUGAGUCACCCUGAGGCUGCAGGAUGCAUGUUCCCUUUGGGACAUUCCAUGCACAGAACUGGUUUCUCCAGGAUGGCUGAGGUGGCAAAUAUGUGGACUUGACUCUUCAAUAAAAGAUUCUCAG
Molecule: long non-coding RNA, 535 nt
Organism: Manis pentadactyla (Chinese pangolin)
Lineage: Eukaryota; Metazoa; Chordata; Mammalia; Pholidota; Manidae
Exons: 5
Source: RefSeq, a predicted model, not a curated record